CAGCCAAGGAUGACUUGCC
RNAcentral lists this non-coding RNA (19 nucleotides) under Arabidopsis thaliana (thale cress). The record is from RNAcentral. Lineage: Eukaryota; Viridiplantae; Streptophyta; Magnoliopsida; Brassicales; Brassicaceae. RNAcentral also lists the same sequence under 1 other name.